Molecule: ribosomal RNA, 253 nt
Filed under: uncultured bacterium
Lineage: Bacteria
Description: partial 16S ribosomal RNA
Rfam family: Bacterial small subunit ribosomal RNA
Source: RNAcentral
GACGAACCGUGCGAACGUUGUUCGGAAUCACUGGGCUUAAAGGGCGCGUAGGCGGCGUGGUAAGUCACUUGUGAAAUCUCCGAGCUUAACUCGGAACGGUCAAGUGAUACUGCUGUGCUAGAGUGCGGAAGGGGCAACUGGAAUUCUCGGUGUAGCGGUGAAAUGCGUAGAUAUCGAGAGGAACACCUGCGGCGAAGGCGGGUUGCUGGGCCGACACUGACGCUGAGGCGCGAAAGCUAGGGGAGCGAACGGG